This 433-nucleotide ribosomal RNA is filed under the name uncultured bacterium. RNAcentral's name for it is "partial 16S ribosomal RNA". It matches the Rfam family "Bacterial small subunit ribosomal RNA", at positions 29 to 507 of the family's 1533-position model. The record is from RNAcentral.
AACGAACGCUGGCGGCAUGCCUAACACAUGCAAGUCGAACGAGACCUUCUGGUCUAGGGGCGCACGGGUGCGUAACGCGUGGGAACCUGCCCUUAGGUUCGGAAUAACUUCCCGAAAGGGGUGCUAAUACCGGAUAAUGUCUUCUGACCAAAGAUUUAUCGCCUUUGGAUGUGCCCGCGUUGGAUUAGCUAGUUGGUAGGGUAAGAGCCUACCAAGGCGACGAUCCAUAGCUGGGUUGAGAGGAUGAUCCGCCACACUGGGACUGAGACACGGCCCAGAACCCUACGGGAGGGAGGAGUGGGGAAUAUUGGACAAGGGGCGAAAGCCUGAUCCAGCAAUGCCGCGUGAGAGAUGAAGGCCUUAGGGUUGUAAAGCUAUUUUACACGGGAUGAUAAUGACAGUACCGGGAGAAUAAGCGCCGGCUAACUACGUG